GGUCUUGUGGUCUAGUGGUAUGAUUCUCGCUUAGGGUGCGAGAGGCCCCGGGUUCAACUCCCGGCAAGACCC
This 72-nucleotide transfer RNA is filed under the name Ascocoryne sarcoides NRRL 50072. Its description in RNAcentral is "tRNA-Pro (AGG) (tRNA-Pro-AGG-1 1 to 4)". It matches the Rfam family "tRNA". Rfam says of the family: Transfer RNA (tRNA) molecules are approximately 80 nucleotides in length. Their secondary structure includes four short double-helical elements and three loops (D, anti-codon, and T loops). The record is from RNAcentral. Lineage: Eukaryota; Fungi; Ascomycota; Leotiomycetes; Helotiales; Gelatinodiscaceae.